CUGCGGAAGGAUCAUUACUGAGUGAGGGCCCUCUGGGUCCAACCUCCCACCCGUGUUUAUUGUACCUUGUUGCUUCGGUGCGCCCGCCUCACGGCCGCCGGGGGGCUUCUGCCCCCGGGUCCGCGCGCACCGGAGACACUAUUGAACUCUGUCUGAAGAUUGCAGUCUGAGCAUAAACUAAAUAAGUUAAAACUUUCAACAACGGAUCUCUUGGUUCCGGCAUCGAUGAAGAACGCAGCGAAAUGCGAUAACUAAUGUGAAUUGCAGAAUUCAGUGAAUCAUCGAGUCUUUGAACGCACAUUGCGCCCCCUGGUAUUCCGGGGGGCAUGCCUGUCCGAGCGUCAUUGCUGCCCUCAAGCACGGCUUGUGUGUUGGGCUCCGUCCCCCCGGGGACGGGUCCGAAAGGCAGCGGCGGCACCGAGUCCGGUCCUCGAGCGUAUGGGGCUUUGUCACCCGCUCUGUAGGCCCGGCCGGCGCCAGCCGACAACCAAUCAUCCUUUUUUCAGGUUGACCUCGGAUCAGGUAGGGAUACCCGCUGAACUUAAGCAUAUCAAUAAGCGGGAGGA
RNAcentral lists this ribosomal RNA (566 nucleotides) under Penicillium glabrum. RNAcentral's name for it is "eukaryotic LSU rRNA". The stretch from base 191 to 344 matches the Rfam family "5.8S ribosomal RNA". The record is from RNAcentral. Lineage: Eukaryota; Fungi; Ascomycota; Eurotiomycetes; Eurotiales; Aspergillaceae.